GAUGAACGCUGGCGGCGUGCCUAAUACAUGCAAGUCGAGCGAACGGACGAGAAGCUUGCUUCUCUGAUGUUAGCGGCGGACGGGUGAGUAACACGUGGAUAACCUACCUAUAAGACUGGGAUAACUUCGGGAAACCGGAGCUAAUACCGGAUAAUAUUUUGAACCGCAUGGUUCAAAAGUGAAAGACGGUCUUGCUGUCACUUAUAGAUGGAUCCGCGCUGCAUUAGCUAGUUGGUAAGGUAACGGCUUACCAAGGCAACGAUGCAUAGCCGACCUGAGAGGGUGGCCGGCCACAGUGGAGCGGAGACAGGGUCCGGCCCCCAGCGGGGGGCAGGAGGGGGGAUUUUCCCGAAAGGGGGGAAACCCGGAGGAAGCACCGCGGGGGGAUGGAUGAGGUUUUUGGGAUGUAAAACUUUUUUUAUGAGGGAAAAAAAUUUGUUAAAGAACCUGUACACAUCUGGCGGGUACCUAAUAAAAAGCCCAGGGCAAACUCGGUC
Molecule: ribosomal RNA, 497 nt
Filed under: uncultured bacterium
Lineage: Bacteria
Description: partial 16S ribosomal RNA
Rfam family: Bacterial small subunit ribosomal RNA
Source: RNAcentral